AUGCCGUUGUCCUUGUUGUGUAAUACUAUUGUUGCUCAGAUGGUUUCCAUGAUGGCGAAAAAAUCCGUGGAGGAGACUCGCACCAAUGUCGGCGAGAAGCAUGGCAGCCAAAGAAGGAGCAACAGCAGCUUAGGUAAUAGCCGCAGUGUCUGGUGCAGGUCCAGAGGCAGAGAAGCUGACCACCAACAAGGUGUGUCGUCAGGUCUCCCUCAAGAUCAAGAACCACGCGGUGGCAAAGGCGUCGACACGCAGGCAGAGACGGAGAAACUGAUGCUGCCACCGAGCACCCACGGUCCCAACUUCCAUGGAACCCCGCCCAUUGAUACGUCUCCAACGUAUCUAUAA
This 345-nucleotide ribosomal RNA is filed under the name Triticum aestivum (bread wheat). RNAcentral's name for it is "partial small subunit ribosomal RNA". Lineage: Eukaryota; Viridiplantae; Streptophyta; Magnoliopsida; Poales; Poaceae. The record is from RNAcentral.